Molecule: ribosomal RNA, 764 nt
Filed under: uncultured bacterium
Lineage: Bacteria
Description: bacterial SSU rRNA
Rfam family: Bacterial small subunit ribosomal RNA
Source: RNAcentral
CGGUUUGUCGCGUCUGCUGUGAAAGUCCGAGGCUCAACCUCGGACCUGCAGUGGGUACGGGCAAACUAGAGUGCGGUAGGGGAGAUGGGAAUUCCUGGUGUAGCGGUGGAAUGCGCAGAUAUCAGGAGGAACACCGAUGGCGAAGGCACAUCUCUGGGCCGUAACUGACGCUGAGGAGCGAAAGCGUGGGGAGCGAACAGGAUUAGAUACCCUGGUAGUCCACGCCGUAAACGGUGGGUGCUAGUUGUGGGUUCCAUUCCACGGAAUCCGUGACGAAGUUAACACAUUAAGCACCCCGCCUGGGGAGUACGGUCGCAAGACUAAAACUCAAAGGAAUUGACGGGGGCCCGCACAAGCGGCGGAGCAUGCGGAUUAAUUCGAUGCAACGCGAAGAACCUUACCAAGGCUUGACAUAUACAGGAAAAGCGUAGAAAUACGCUCCCCGCAAGGUCUGUAUACAGGUGGUGCAUGGUUGUCGUCAGCUCGUGUCGUGAGAUGUUGGGUUAAGUCCCGCAACGAGCGCAACCCUCGUCCUAUGUUGCCAGCACGUAAUGGUGGGAACUCAUGGGAGACUGCCGGGGUCAACUCGGAGGAAGGUGGGGAUGACGUCAAAUCAUCAUGCCCCUUAUGUCUUGGGCUUCACGCAUGCUACAAUGGCCGGUACAAAGGGCUGCAAUACCGCAAGGUGGAGCGAAUCCCAUAAAGCCGGUCUCAGUUCGGAUUGGGGUCUGCAACUCGACCCCAUGAAGUCGGAGUCGCUAGUA